UCUCUCGUAGCUUAGUGGUCAUAGCAUUGGCGAGUAAAGCCAAAGAGCCCGGGUUCGAUUCCCGGCGGGGCUA
This 73-nucleotide transfer RNA is filed under the name Agrilus planipennis (emerald ash borer). It matches the Rfam family "tRNA". From Rfam's summary of the family: Transfer RNA (tRNA) molecules are approximately 80 nucleotides in length. Their secondary structure includes four short double-helical elements and three loops (D, anti-codon, and T loops). Lineage: Eukaryota; Metazoa; Arthropoda; Insecta; Coleoptera; Buprestidae. The record is from Rfam by way of RNAcentral.